This 433-nucleotide ribosomal RNA is filed under the name uncultured bacterium. RNAcentral describes it as "partial 16S ribosomal RNA". It matches the Rfam family "Bacterial small subunit ribosomal RNA", at positions 29 to 507 of the family's 1533-position model. The record is from RNAcentral.
AACGAACGCUGGCGGCAUGCCUAACACAUGCAAGUCGAACGAGACCUUCGGGUCUAGUGGCGCACGGGUGCGUAACGCGUGGGAACCUGCCCUUAGGUUCGGAAUAACUCCCCGAAAGGGGUGCUAAUACCGGAUAAUGUCUUCGGACCAAAGAUUUAUCGCCUUUGGAUGGGCCCGCGUUGGAUUAGCUAGUUGGUAGGGUAAAAGCCUACCAAGGCGACGAUCCAUAGCUGGUCGGAGAGGAUGCUCAGCCACACUGGGACUGAGACACGGCCCAGACUCCUACGGGAGGCAGCAGUGGGGAAUAUUGGACAAUGGGCGAAAGCCUGAUCCAGCAAUGCCGCGUGAGUGAUGAAGGCCUUAGGGUUGUAAAGCUCUUUUACCCGGGAUGAUAAUGACAGUACCGGGAGAAUAAGCUCCGGCUAACUCCGUG